UAGGGUUUGAUUCUGGCUCAGAACGAACGCUGGUGGCGUGCUUAACACAUGCAAGUCGAACGAGAAAGUUUCCUUCGGGAAAUUAGUAAAGUGGCGCAAGGGUGAGUAUCACGUGAAUAAUCUGCCCUCGAGAUCGGGAUAACAUGGUGAAAACUAUGCUAAUACCGGAUAAGACCACAUUUCAUAAGAAAUGCGGUAAAAGGAGUCUCAAUCUUCACUCGAGGAUGAGUUCGCGCAACAUUAGCUUGUUGGUGAGAUAAAAGCUCACCAAGGCUACGAUGUUUAGCCGGCCUGAGAGGGUGAACGGCCACACUGGAACUGAGACACGGUCCAGACUCCUACGGGAGGCAGCAGUGGGGAAUAUUGCGCAAUGGGCGAAAGCCUGACGCAGCAACGCCGUGUGAGCGAUGAAGGCUUUAGGGUCGUAAAGCUCUGUCAAAUGGGAAGAAUUUUGACGGUACCAUUAGAGGAAGCCCCGGCUAACUCCGUGCCAGCCGCCGCGGUAAUACA
This 510-nucleotide ribosomal RNA is filed under the name uncultured Desulfobacterales bacterium. Its description in RNAcentral is "bacterial SSU rRNA". It matches the Rfam family "Bacterial small subunit ribosomal RNA", at positions 1 to 527 of the family's 1533-position model. Lineage: Bacteria; Pseudomonadati; Thermodesulfobacteriota; Desulfobacteria; Desulfobacterales. The record is from RNAcentral.